RNAcentral lists this long non-coding RNA (765 nucleotides) under Parus major (Great Tit). Its description in RNAcentral is "lncRNA (ENSPMJG00000019977.1)". The record is from RNAcentral. Lineage: Eukaryota; Metazoa; Chordata; Aves; Passeriformes; Paridae.
CCGGGAUGUUUAUGUAUUCAUGCCGAACAUGGGAUAACAGAGUAUAUGAGGAUAUAUAAUAUUAGUGAAGAAGAAAAUGACUGGUAUAGUACUUUCUUCUCUCAGUUCCUUCUCCACUAAUGCCCUUACACCUUUCUUUUUCAGGCUUUUUGUAGCAUCCUAAACAGAAGGAUAUUGAAGGGAGCUGAUUCUGCUUUGAUCCUUAUGCUUGUUGUCAAAGCGCUUGGGAUUGAAGAGACUGUUGGCUACAAUUGACUGUGACAAUUAGGAGAUGAUCAGAGCCCUAGAGUGGAGCACUUAAAGGGUGAAAAAGAUGGUGUAUGAAAGGACUUCCAAAGCACAAACGUAUUUUUUGUUGGCUAUCGACAGGAAAUGACACUUUGCAUUUUUAUCUGAGACACAAACGGAACUGCCUUACUCUGUACUAGAAAGGAAAAUCAUGGAAACAACUCAGAAAUUACUUUCCUAAAUAUGAGGCUCCCUGGCUGCUCUUUGUGCGCCGAGGAUGCGGCUCCGGGCGGGGAGAGGCAGCACCCGCUCCCGCUGUGCUCGCAUCAGCCCGCGGUGCCUCUCGCCCAAGGAUCCUGACACGUGGAGCAUUGAUGAACUCAGCAUAACGUUGAAUAGGAGCUUUUUGGCAGCUGAGACACAAGGGCUAAGCUGCAGGUCAGAGAUAACACUAGUGCAGAUCUCCUCAUGCACACAGUUAGUAGCAUGCUUUCUUCCCUCCUGAGUGCAGGAAAUAGCUCAUGUUAAAUACGUUCA